ACCUGAAUGGCUCAGUCAGUGAAGCAUCUAACUUCAGCUCAGGUCGUGAUCUAACAGUUCGUGAGUUCGAGUCCCACUUUGGGUG
RNAcentral lists this transfer RNA (85 nucleotides) under Felis catus (domestic cat). It matches the Rfam family "tRNA". From Rfam's summary of the family: Transfer RNA (tRNA) molecules are approximately 80 nucleotides in length. Their secondary structure includes four short double-helical elements and three loops (D, anti-codon, and T loops). Lineage: Eukaryota; Metazoa; Chordata; Mammalia; Carnivora; Felidae. RNAcentral also lists the same sequence under 1 other name. The record is from Rfam by way of RNAcentral.